ACUGGUUCGUGGAGAGAGAAGGGAACCAUCGCUACGCUCCCCCUGUGCUAUCCUCGUCUUACAUUGGUUUGAAUGGACGGCCCACAUUAACCAGGGCACACGCCUGCCUAUUGCUUGCGUUUCCUCUCUCUCUCUCUCUCUCUCUCUCUCUCCUCACUCUCUUCUCCCUCUCCGCCCGCCUUGUUCUUCCAGACUGGAUCAUCGAUUCAUCAUCGGCGACUCCGACGCGCUGGAUUCGAUCGGCAACAGUUCUUUGGCGUCGCGCGGCGGGUUAGAAUCUCUCGUUUUUGCUCCCAGAUUUGUGGAUUUUGUCCAUCGAUUCUAGCCUAGGGGCUGAAUCCGCUGCGAGCUUGGUGAGAGAGCGUGUUCUUCUCGUUCUUUUUUCCUUUUUUUCUGUGAAUAUUUCCUCGCCGCGCCCGCUUUCUCGUGAUUUUAUUUCAUCAUCCAAGUCGCUUUUCAAUGCGGUGUCCGCCGUUGAGAGAGUAGGACUCGAUUCAUUCAUUCAGUCCGGGUGGCUGUGUGGUUUGAUCAAUAAUUUCCUUGUCCGGGCACGCAUUUGAUUUUAGAGUCGCAGUCAGCAGUUUUGUCUCGAGAAUCUGAUUGAAGCGCUCAUCGUUUAGAAAUAGAGUGAGAGUCUAUAGCGAAGUGAUGCGAGGGUCUAGAUAGAAAAGAGCGAAAGAAAAAAACUUCAACUACGAUGGCUCCAAGAGCCACUUCCAAGUCGAAGAAUCACAAAUCCAAGGGAGAGAAGAAGAAGAAAGAAGACAAGCUGCUUCCUACCGUUCUCGAUGUUCUGGUAAAUCUCCCAAGUGGCGACGAAAUAAUUCUCAAGGGGAUUUCUACUGAUCGUAUCCUGGAUGUGCGCAAGCUUUUGGCGGUCAAUGUUGAGACAUGCCACCUUACGAGAUUCUCGCUAUCCCACCAGGUUCGUGGAGAUCGACUGAAUGACUCUCAAGAGGUCAUGCACUUGAAGCCUUGUGUUCUCACUGUCGUCGAAGAAGCAUACACGGAGGAAUCAGCCAUGGAUCACGUCAGAAGGCUAUUGGACUUGGUUUCAAGCAUUACUUGUUUUGGUCCUUCCGGGAAGGCAUUAGUGCCAGACAAAGAAACAGAUGGUAAAACAGGCAGGACGGAGAGUGGAGAGAAUAGCAUCAAUCUCAAGGAUAUCAAGGACAUAACAAAACUCUGUCCUCCAUCCGAGCUGGGGAAGUUUUACGAGUUCUUUUCCUUCGCGCAUCUAAAGUCACCUGUCCAAGGCAUUAAAAUUUCUCGUCAGGCAGGCUCUAAAACAGAUUUUUUCUCGCUAGAGGUCAAGGUGACCAACGGGAAAAUUCUUUCCGUUACAGCUUGUAGCACCGGAUUUUAUCACACGGGGAAGCAGCAAGUGAAGUGCCACGCACUGGUCGAUUUGUUAAGGCAUCUUAGCAAGUCUUUUAACGACAACUACGAAGAACUGUUGAAAGCAUUUUGCGCGCGCAAUAAGUUUGCGAACAUUCCGUACGGUCUGCGAGCUAAUACGUGGGUGGUUCCACCCAUAGUAGCAGAAUCGCCGUCUACGUUUCCGGCUUUGCCUGCAGAAGACGAAACUUGUGGUGGCAAUGGAGGUGGUCGAGGUAGAAAUCCCGAAGGCCUCAACGUGCCGUGGUCACAGCACUUCUCUUUCAUAGCCAAAAUGGCUUGCGAGACGUCGGAGGAACGAGAGGUUCGGGAUCAUAAAGCUUUUGUUCUCCAUAACUACUUCGUCGAUGUGGCUACUACGCAUGCUGUAGCAGUCAUAAGGGAAUUGGAUUCUUCAAGCUCAUUCCAGACAGAACAUGUAGAGACCAGGGGUACUCUCAAGUUCUUCGUCACUCGAGAUGGCACAGAUCCCGGCAGAAAAGUUGUAUGGAAAAUAGAGUCGAGCUCAACAACGGAGUUUCAAAGGGAAAUAUCGGAACGGAAUGUUUUGAAAGGAAUUACGGCUGACGAAAGCACCGUUGUCCAUGACACUUGUACAUUAGGUAUUGUUUUAGUUCGACAUCAAGGAUACAAGGUAGUUGUAGAGGCAGUCCCGACGGAGCGCACUCAGGAUAUUCUCGAGAUCUUGGAUCCACCUGAAGGCGGUGCAAACGCACUUAACGCAAACAGCCUCCGCAUUCUUCUGCAUAAGAAGUCUCACAGACUGGAUAGUAGUGGCGAGGAAGAGAAGCGCGCCAAAGAUCUUCUUUCUGAAACAAUAGACAAGGCAAUUUCCAGCGUAAGCACGCAGGGACCCGUUAAUCCGAGCCAGUAUUUCAGGUGGGAACUCGGCGCAUGCUGGGUCCAACAUUUAGGAGAAAUGACAAAAGCAAACAGCAGUGAGAAAAGUGAUAAAAGUGGCCAGAAACCGAGCAAGGACGAGGAACCUGUGUCUGAAGAUGUCUCCCCUCUGAAAGGACUCCUUCCCGAGUCUUCUUUGGAGCGACUUAAAGGAACAAAAUCAGGCCUUCACCUAAAGUCUGUUGCGGAGCUUAUGAACGCAGCGGAACAAUAUUAUAAUAAUGUGGCGCUUCCUAAGCUUGUGUCAGAUUUUUCGGCUCUUGAGCUCUCUCCGGUUGAAGGGCGAACUUUGACAGAUUUUAUGCAUAUACGUGGGUUGAGGAUUUCCUCACUGGGACAACUGGCUGAUCUGUGCUCAAAACUUCCGCACAUCAGGUCGCUGUGCAUCCACGAAAUGAUUAUCCGCGCUUUUAAACAGUUGCUUCGAGCUGUAGUUGCCUCCGUGAAAGAAACUUCCGAGCUAGCUUCUACAAUCGCGACUGCUUUGAACGCCAUCUUUGCUAGCCUGCCAGCUGAAGGCAAAGAGGAGCCUGUUGAGAAGCAUGUCUGGAAAUGGCUGGAGUCGUUUGUCGCCGCGAGAUUUAGAUGGAAACUCGCUUAUGAUUCGCGGCUAAACCUGCGUAAGUACGCACUUCUUCGAGGGAUUUGCUAUAAGGUUGGCAUUGAAAUGGCUCCUCGAAGCUACAACUUUAACAGUACCACAAUUUUCUCGAAGGCAGAUGUAAUAAGCUUGGUUCCCGUGUACAAGGUUUGUUCUUAAAACCUGUUUCAUUCUUCCGUCAUUUUGACAGAAUUUUCAUUUGUGCUUCCAAAGCAUGCAAUUUGCUCGUCGGCUGAUGGACGCACGCUCUUGGAGUCGUCAAAAGCGGCAUUAGAUAAAGGAAAGCUAGAGGAGGCCGUGUCUUUUGGAAGCAAGGCUCUGACAAAAUUGAUAGCUGUUUGCGGGCCUUACCAUCGAAUGACUGCUGGAGCAUAUAGUUUGCUUGCAGUGGUUCUUUACCACACAGGAGACUUCAAUCAGGCCAUGAUAUACCAGCAAAAAGCUUUGGACAUAAAUGAGAGGGAGCUUGGACUUGACCAUCCGGAUACAAUGAAAAGCUAUGGUGACUUGGCUGUCUUUUACUACAGGCUUCAACAUACAGAGUUGGCAUUAAGAUACGUUAAUCGGGCACUUUACUUGCUGCACUUGAUCUGUGGACCCUCACAUCCGAAUACAGCUGCUACUUAUAUAAAUGUAGCUAUGAUGGAGGAGGCUCUUGGAAAUGCUCACGUAGCUUUGCGAUAUCUACAUGAAGCACUUAAAUGCAACGAGAGGCUUCUCGGCAAAGAUCAUAUUCAGACUGCAGCAAGCUACCAUGCAAUUGCUAUAGCACUCUCACUGAUGGAAGCAUAUACACUCAGUGUCCAUCACGAACAAACUACGUAUCAAAUUUUGCAAGCAAAGCUUGGUCCAGAUGACAUCCGCACACAGGAUGCUGCUGCCUGGCUUGAUUAUUUUGAUUCUAAAGCAGUUGAGCAGCAAGAAGCCACAAGGACAGGGGCACCUAAGCCUGAUCCUUCUGUUGCAAGCAAAGGCCAUCUUAGUGUCUCUGAUCUUCUAGACUACAUUAACAAAGAAGUAUCAACAUCAAGUGAGAAGGAUAAAAAGCCUAAGCGUUUGAAGAUUCUAACUGUAGAAGAUAAUGCGGAUUCUCCAAAACAACAAGCAGGGAAUUCAAGCAGUAUUCAGAGCCAAGAGGAGAGUCCUAUCAUUAAAGAAGAAGUUUCGGGACAGGUUAGAGAACCUCCUUCCAACGCAGAAGAUCGCAUUGCCAAGAUUUCCAGCUCAACGGAAGUUUCCAACGCAGCAGUGAUAUCUUCGGAAGAGGUUAAUGAAGAUGAAGGAUGGUUCGAAGCUACAUCAAGAAGGAAAACGGUACAAAGAAAGAAGUUCAGCAGUUCGGACGUAUCUGGCACUAGCAGGAUGGGAUUUAAAGGCACACGCCCUGAUACUCCUUCCGAGAGUGGUAGUGGUACGCAAGAGAAGCUGGACGUUCCUUCCGAUAGUGGUACACAGGAAAAGCUGGAAGUUUCUUCUGGGGUGGCUGAACAAGGUCAGGUUCCUAGCGUCACAACACAGGGUAACAGAUCCUACAAAGACGUGGCACUGAUGAUGAUACGGCCGUUACAACAAUUGCAGCAAGCAGCAGUGAAAGUGGCAGGGACCAAAACAGAAACGAAAACAACAGGGCAAGCUGAAGAGGAGGAUUUGAUGUCUUGCGAAGGAUCUUCGAGCUGUUCUUCAUCAGCAGCAGCCACAACUCCUGCGAAGAGUAGUAUUCCCAAACCAGCUCCUCGUCCCGACUCACAACAAACUACCAUUGAAGUGGCCAUGACUCCCAUUCGAAAGCAGGUACACCUUCCUUCAAAAACUCAGGACUGCCAACCUUCUGUUGUCACACCGCCACCUCUUGCAACUCCAGCCUCCCUUUUCAAUGCCCCUGGAUCUCCUUCUCACCAUCCUCCUCCCACCACACCUGGUGCCAAGAAGCUUAUGAAUCCUUUUGCAAUCGAGUUUGUCCCGGGCAGAAAGUGGCAUCCGUUUCUUCCAUCCGAGACUAACUCUUUACAAACAGGAGGAUCAGGCUCUAAAGAUCAAGACGAGAAGAGGGAAAGCCAAGGUGGUGUGAGUGAUGGUGAUGGCGAUACAACAGAAAGUCUAGAGCAAGGCAGUCCCGCAAAACCACAGGCGGAGGAGACAGUAAAAAAUAGUGAGUUAGAAAUGGCAAAGACAGAAAGGCUCCAGGAAGAAAAUUUAUUACAGGAAGAAGUGGCAGCAGCAGCACAAGGCUCAGUCACACAGGAGGAGCAAGACGAAAGUUUUGAAGGGGAAGUAGCAAUAACAACACCAAGCAUAAGUUUGGAACAAGAGGACACUGGUAGCAACAAGGAGGGGAUUCACAGUGACAGUGACGAGAGAUUGCUAGUUGCUGCGGGGGACAGGGAUCAAUCUGGCUUUGCAGCAGCAAUGGCAAGCAAGAGGUGGUGUAGCAGUAGCAACUUUACGAGAUCGCGGAGUCGCGGGGCUCGCUGGCAGCGGCGCUCGGACGGAGCGAUCACCAGAGUGUACAGGCUGCAAGAAGGGAGCUCCAGUGCCAACCCGCAGCUGAAAACCACCUCCACUUUCACAAACGUCCCGGAGCCGCACACAUUGCAAUCGCCAGCGUCGUCCACUCUCAUGAGGAGCGUUCGAGUAAGCUAGAGAAGGGCGAGAGUUCUAACGAAAGAAAAAUCCAUCUAGCACGCUUGGAAAGGACGAAGAAAUAAGAACGCUAGUGCAAAGAAAUCCAUGUCAUGGAAUGCUCGAAAAAAAGUCUCUUCUCUGGCCCAAAGGUUUAAA
RNA transcript from Selaginella moellendorffii, 5677 nucleotides. It is a transcript of the gene named protein TSS, with no coding region annotated. The transcript is spliced from 22 exons. The record is from RefSeq and is a predicted model, not a curated record. NCBI's taxonomy places the organism in Eukaryota, Viridiplantae, Streptophyta, Lycopodiopsida, Selaginellales, Selaginellaceae.